AGCAUACCUGCCAGUGCGACAUAUUACUGUAAACGGCCGCCCUAGCGUGAGGGUGCUAAGGUAGCGAAAUUCCUUGCCUUUUAAUUGUAGGCCUGCAUGAAUGGUUUAACGAGGGUUAAGCUGUCUCUAAGUUUAUAAGUUGAAAUUGUAUUAAAGGUGAAGAUACCUUUAUUUUGAAGUUAGACAAAAAGACCCCGUGCAACUUUGAAAAUUAGCUUUAUUAAAAGGUGAGAGAUUUUUAGGUGGGGCGCCUAGAGAGCUAGUUCUAACCUCUUUUACUGAGUUAUUAAAACUUUCAAGUCUUGACCCGGUUACACCCGAUCAUAGGAGAAGUUACGCCGGGGAUAACAGGCUAAUCCUUUAGUAGAGCUCGUAUUGGCUAAAGGGAUUGGCACCUCGAUGUUGAAUCAGGGAUGAUACCUUUGAGGCGUAGARGCUUCGAGAGUGGGUCUGUUCGACCUUUAAUACCCUACGUGAUCUGA
This 482-nucleotide ribosomal RNA is filed under the name Crassostrea sp. CAN. RNAcentral's name for it is "partial 16S ribosomal RNA". It matches the Rfam family "Bacterial large subunit ribosomal RNA", at positions 1852 to 2608 of the family's 2925-position model. Lineage: Eukaryota; Metazoa; Mollusca; Bivalvia; Ostreida; Ostreidae. The record is from RNAcentral.